RNAcentral lists this ribosomal RNA (582 nucleotides) under uncultured bacterium. Its description in RNAcentral is "bacterial SSU rRNA". It matches the Rfam family "Bacterial small subunit ribosomal RNA", at positions 202 to 775 of the family's 1533-position model. The record is from RNAcentral.
GGAAGUAAUCCUAACACUGUGAGAUGGGCCCGCGGCGCAUUAGCUAGUUGGUGGGGUAAUGGCCCACCAAGGCGACGAUGCGUAGCCGACCUGAGAGGGUGAUCGGCCACACUGGAACUGAGACACGGUCCAGACUCCUACGGGAGGCAGCAGUAGGGAAUCAUCCGCAAUGGGCGAAAGCCUGACGGUGCAACGCCGCGUGAACGAUGAAGGUCUUCGGAUUGUAAAGUUCUGUUGUUAGGGAAGAACAAGUACCAUUCGAAUAGGGUGGUACCCUGACGGUACCUAACCAGAAAGCCCCGGCUAACUACGUGCCAGCAGCCGCGGUAAUACGCAGGGGGCAAGCGUUGUCCGGAAUUAUUGGGCGUAAAGCGCGCGCAGGCGGUCCUUUAAGUCUGAUGUGAAAGCCCACGGCUCAACCGUGGAGGGUCAUUGGAAACUGGGGGACUUGAGUGUAGGAGAGGAAAGUGGAAUUCCACGUGUAGCGGUGAAAUGCGUAGAUAUGUGGAGGAACACCAGUGGCGAAGGCGACUUUCUGGCCUAUAACUGACGCUGAGGCGCGAAAGCGUGGGGAGCAAACAG